UAUCCAUAAAGGGAUGGUGCUCCCUAUAAACGCUAGAAAUAGCUGAUGGCGCCUGUUAGAAA
This 62-nucleotide non-coding RNA is filed under the name Streptococcus sp. RNAcentral describes it as "Fluoride sequence". It matches the Rfam family "Fluoride riboswitch aptamer (crcB RNA motif)". The record is from RNAcentral. RNAcentral also lists the same sequence under 1 other name. Lineage: Bacteria; Bacillati; Bacillota; Bacilli; Lactobacillales; Streptococcaceae.